This 405-nucleotide ribosomal RNA is filed under the name uncultured bacterium. RNAcentral's name for it is "bacterial SSU rRNA". It matches the Rfam family "Bacterial small subunit ribosomal RNA", at positions 354 to 776 of the family's 1533-position model. The record is from RNAcentral.
GUGGGGAAUAUUGCACAAUGGGGGAAACCCUGAUGCAGCGACGCCGCGUGAGUGAAGAAGUAUUUCGGUAUGUAAAGCUCUAUCAGCAGGGAAGAAAAUGACGGUACCUGACUAAGAAGCCCCGGCUAACUACGUGCCAGCAGCCGCGGUAAUACGUAGGGGGCAAGCGUUAUCCGGAUUUACUGGGUGUAAAGGGAGCGUAGACGGCUGAGCAAGUCAGAAGUGAAAGCCCGGGGCUCAACCCCGGGACUGCUUUUGAAACUGUCCGGCUCGAGUGCAGGAGAGGUAAGCGGAAUUCCUAGUGUAGCGGUGAAAUGCGUAGAUAUUAGGAGGAACACCAGUGGCGAAGGCGGCUUUCUGGACUGAAACUGACGCUGAGGCGCGAAAGCGUGGGGAGCAAACAGG